This 69-nucleotide transfer RNA is filed under the name China mantispoides. RNAcentral describes it as "tRNA-Arg". The record is from RNAcentral. Lineage: Eukaryota; Metazoa; Arthropoda; Insecta; Orthoptera; Chorotypidae.
AAAUGAGAAGCAAUAAAUGUAUUCAGUUUCGACCUGAAAUCUAGGUAUAAUAUAUACCCUUAUUUAAUA